This 498-nucleotide ribosomal RNA is filed under the name uncultured bacterium. RNAcentral describes it as "bacterial SSU rRNA". It matches the Rfam family "Bacterial small subunit ribosomal RNA", at positions 8 to 507 of the family's 1533-position model. The record is from RNAcentral.
AGAGUUUGAUCCUGGCUCAGGAUGAACGCUAGCGGGAGGCCUAACACAUGCAAGCCGAGCGGUAGAGAUUCUUCGGAAUCUUGAGAGCGGCGUACGGGUGCGGAACACGUGUGCAACCUACCUUUAUCUGGAGGAUAGCCUUUCGAAAGGAAGAUUAAUACUCCAUAAUAUAUUUGAUGGCAUCAUUAAAUAUUGAAAGCUCCGGCGGAUAGAGAUGGGCACGCGCAAGAUUAGCUAGUUGGUGAGGUAACGGCUCACCAAGGCAAUGAUCUUUAGGGGGCCUGAGAGGGUGAUCCCCACACUGGUACUGAGACACGGACCAGACUCCUACGGGAGGCAGCAGUGAGGAAUAUUGGUCAAUGGGUGCAAGCCUGAACCAGCCAUCCCGCGUGAAGGACGACUGCCCUAUGGGUUGUAAACUUCUUUUGUAUAGGGAUAAACCUACUCUCGUGAGAGUAGCUGAAGGUACCAUACGAAUAAGCACCGGCUAACUCCGUG